CUUUUUAUUUUAUUUUU
This 17-nucleotide small RNA is filed under the name Arabidopsis thaliana (thale cress). RNAcentral's name for it is "ATSL218540". Lineage: Eukaryota; Viridiplantae; Streptophyta; Magnoliopsida; Brassicales; Brassicaceae. The record is from RNAcentral.